Molecule: ribosomal RNA, 934 nt
Filed under: Salmonella enterica subsp. enterica serovar Infantis
Lineage: Bacteria; Pseudomonadati; Pseudomonadota; Gammaproteobacteria; Enterobacterales; Enterobacteriaceae
Description: partial 23S ribosomal RNA
Rfam family: Bacterial large subunit ribosomal RNA
Source: RNAcentral
AAUCCAUAGGUUAAUGAGGCGAACCGGGGGAACUGAAACAUCUAAGUACCCCGAGGAAAAGAAAUCAACCGAGAUUCCCCCAGUAGCGGCGAGCGAACGGGGAGGAGCCCAGAGCCUGAAUCAGCAUGUGUGUUAGUGGAAGCGUCUGGAAAGGCGCGCGAUACAGGGUGACAGCCCCGUACACAAAAGCGCAUGUGCUGUGAGCUCGAUGAGUAGGGCGGGACACGUGGUAUCCUGUCUGAAUAUGGGGGGACCAUCCUCCAAGGCUAAAUACUCCUGACUGACCGAUAGUGAACCAGUACCGUGAGGGAAAGGCGAAAAGAACCCCGGCGAGGGGAGUGAAAAAGAACCUGAAACCGUGUACGUACAAGCAGUGGGAGCACAGGUUUACCUGUGUGACUGCGUACCUUUUGUAUAAUGGGUCAGCGACUUAUAUUCUGUAGCAAGGUUAACCGAAUAGGGGAGCCGGAGGGAAACCGAGUCUUAAUUGGGCGUUAAGUUGCAGGGUAUAGACCCGAAACCCGGUGAUCUAGCCAUGGGCAGGUUGAAGGUUGGGUAACACUAACUGGAGGACCGAACCGACUAAUGUUGAAAAAUUAGCGGAUGACCUGUGGCUGGGGGUGAAAGGCCAAUCAAACCGGGAGAUAGCUGGUUCUCCCCGAAAGCUAUUUAGGUAGCGCCUCGUGAAUUCAUCUCCGGGGGUAGAGCACUGUUUCGGCUAGGGGGCCAUCCCGGCUUACCAACCCGAUGCAAACUGCGAAUACCGGAGAAUGUUAUCACGGGAGACACACGGCGGGUGCUAACGUCCGUCGUGAAGAGGGAAACAACCCAGACCGCCAGCUAAGGUCCCAAAGUCAUGGUUAAGUGGGAAACGAUGUGGGAAGGCCCAGACAGCCAGGAUGUUGGCUUAGAAGCAGCCAUCAUUUAAAGAAAG